RNAcentral lists this ribosomal RNA (274 nucleotides) under uncultured bacterium. Its description in RNAcentral is "partial 16S ribosomal RNA". It matches the Rfam family "Bacterial small subunit ribosomal RNA", at positions 523 to 796 of the family's 1533-position model. The record is from RNAcentral.
AUACGGAGGGUGCAAGCGUUAAUCGGAAUUACUGGGCGUAAAGAGUACGUAGGUGGUUUGUUAAGUCAGAUGUGAAAGCCCCGGGCUCAACCUGGGAACUGCAUUUGAAACUGGCAAACUAGAGUAUGGUAGGGGGGGGUAGAAUUUCUAGUGUAGCGGUGAAAUGCGUAGAUAUUAGAAGGAAUACCAGUGGCGAAGGCGGCCCCCUGGACCAAUACUGACACUGAGGUACGAAAGCGUGGGUAGCGAACAGGAUUAGAAACCCUAGUAGUCC